GGAACAUGCUCGCGAAACGUACACACUAGAGGAUGUGAGAGGUAUGUGGAACUCACGGUGUAGGGGUGAAAUCCGUUGAUAUCGUGGGGAACACCGAAGGCGAAGGCAACAUACUGGCGCAUUCCUGACGCUGAGGGACGAAAGUGUGGGUAGCGAAGAGGAUUAGAUACCCUCGUAGUCCACACUGUAAACGCUGAACACUAGUCAUGUGGAGUAUCGACCCUCCACGUGACGAAGCUAACGCAUUAAGUGUUCCGCCUGGGAAGUACGAGCGCAAGCUUAAAACUCAAAGGAAUAGACGGGGACUCGCACAAGCGGUGGAGCGUCUGGUUUAAUUCGACGAUAAGCGAGGAACCUCACCUAGGCUUGACAUUCUGUUGACCGCCUCUAGAAACAGAGGCUUUCUAUUAAGACAGCAGAACAGGUGCUGCAAGGUUGCCGUCAGCUCGUGUCUUGAGAUGUUCCGUUAAGUCGGGUAACGAGCGCAACCCUCGUCCUAUGUUACAAGUGUCAUAGGAGACUGCCUUGGCAACAGGGAGGAAGGUGGGGAUGACGUCAAAUCAGCAUGGCCCUUUGAUGCCUAGGGCGACACAGGCGCUACAAUGGCCAGUACAACGGGUAGCCAAACCGCGAGGUGGAGCUAAUCCUAUCAAAACUGGUCUCAGUUCGGAUUGGAGUCUGCAACUCGACUCCAUGAAGUCGGAAUCGCUAGUAAUCGCAUAUCAGCCAUGGUGCGGUGAAUACGUUCUCGAGUCUUGUACUCACCGCCCGU
Molecule: ribosomal RNA, 772 nt
Filed under: uncultured bacterium
Lineage: Bacteria
Description: bacterial SSU rRNA
Rfam family: Bacterial small subunit ribosomal RNA
Source: RNAcentral